Molecule: ribosomal RNA, 229 nt
Filed under: uncultured bacterium
Lineage: Bacteria
Description: partial 16S ribosomal RNA
Rfam family: Bacterial small subunit ribosomal RNA
Source: RNAcentral
UGCGUAGGCGGUGUUAUUAGUCGGGUGUAAAAUCCUGGGGCUCAACCCCAGACUCGCAUUCGAAACGGUAACACUAGAAGAAGUAAGAGGUGAGCAGAACUCUCGGUGUAGGGGUGAAAUCCGUUGAUAUCGAGGGGAAUACCAAAUGCGAAGGCAGCUCACUGGUACUUUCUUGACGCUGAGGCACGAAAGCAUGGGUAGCGAACAGGAUUAGAUACCCUGGUAGUCC